CGGGGGGGGGGCAAGCGUUGUUCGGGAAUUACUGGGGCGUAAAGCGCGCGCAGGCGGCCCGGCAAGUCCUACGUGAAAUCCCACAGCUCAACUGUGGAACUGCGUGGGAUACUGCCAGGCUUGAGUCCGGGAGAGGAGAGUGGAAUUCCCAGUGUAGCGGUGAAAUGCGUAGAUAUUGGGAGGAACACCGGUGGCGAAGGCGGCUCUCUGGACCGGUACUGACGCUGAGGCGCGAAAGCUAGGGGAGCAAACGGGAUUAGAUACCCCGGUAGUCCUAGCUGUAAACUUUGAGCACUUGGUGUGGCGGGUAUCGACCCCUGCCGUGCCGAAGCUAACGCAUUAAGUGCUCCGCCUGGGGAGUACGGUCGCAAAGGCUG
Molecule: ribosomal RNA, 377 nt
Filed under: uncultured organism
Description: partial 16S ribosomal RNA
Rfam family: Bacterial small subunit ribosomal RNA
Source: RNAcentral